This 2461-nucleotide long non-coding RNA is filed under the name Homo sapiens (human). RNAcentral's name for it is "non-protein coding PSMA3-AS1:30". Lineage: Eukaryota; Metazoa; Chordata; Mammalia; Primates; Hominidae. The record is from RNAcentral.
GUCUCGGCAGCGGUGGCCGUAGCUCCAUCGCAUUUUAUGUUUCUGGCGAGAAGGGAACGGAGUUUUCAUCAGGUAGAUUGGUUUUUGUGCGGCCGUCCUCCACCGUUUCCUCCAGGACAGCACCUAGUCGUGGCCGGAGGAGUCUCAGAGCUGUCAGAAAGAAUAAGACUGAUUUUAUGGGAAAAUUAAGCAGAUGCUCCAGUUUGAGAAACCUGGAUCUGCGAUCUGUUUGUGAGUGGUAUUCAGUUAAGAGAACAAUUAUUUCGUAUAAGCCACAUCAGAGACGACUGAAGAUGAAAAAACUACCAUCCCCGUAUAUAACUAAUUUGUGCUGUGCACCAACAAGAACCUGCUUUAAAUUUCCAUGGCAAUUUACAACCCCCAUACUGUACCAGGCAAGGUACCAGCAUCAAGAUGAUUUAUGGUAAUAAGAUAUAAAACCAAGGAAAAUAACCUAAAGUCUGAAAAAGACCAGAAUCGAAGUUUCCUGAUUCAUAUUUUAAUGUUUUGAAAUUUAUACUCCAGGCUGGGUGCAGUGGCUUGUGCCUGUAAUCCCAGCACUUUGGGAGGCCGAGGCGGCCGGAUUGCCUGAAGUCAGAAGUUCGAGACCAGCCUGACCAACAUGGUGAAACCCUGUCUCUACUUAAAAAUACAAAAGAGCUGGGCAUGGAGGUGGUGCGCGCCUGUAACCCUAGCUACUCGGGAGGCUGAGGCCUAAGAAUCUCUUGAACCCAGGAGGCAGAGGUUGUAGUGAGCCGGGAUCACGCCACUGCACUCUAGCCUGGGCGACAGAGAGAGAGACUGUCUAAAAAAGGAAAAGAAAAAAAUUUAUACGCCAAAAAAGAUAUUCUGAGAUAACCUGUAGUUACCACUAACUUUGUGACAAAAUUAUAAAAAUCCACAGCCAUCUAUGAAUCUGUAGGCAGACCUGAAGUUUGAACGACUGGUGAAGACAUCUGAUUUUCUUUAUAGCCAAGUUAGGAUAACAAAAUGCAAACAAGUCAUUAAUAUUUACUAUAUGCAAGAUACAGAAAGAUGAAGGAAGGAGUAAGAAGUUAUCCUUCGUGGAACUAUUCAAAGCAAAAAUGCAAAAUACCAGGGAAAGCUUUGAAGAACCAAGAUUUGAGCAGGUUCUUAGAAUAUAGAUUGGAUUGGAUUUGAUUUCAAGAAAGAUGAACGUGUAAAGCAGAAGUGGGAAGCCAAAAACUUUUUUCCAAAUUAGAAUUAAGCAUUCUUUCAAUGAACAUUUGGAAAUCAAGGUAGAAAAAUAUCCCUAGGGCCUAGCUGAGGAGUCUGUAUGUUGUUGGGUUUUGAUAGUAACCAGUCCAAGAUUUUGUUAUUAGACGUGGGUUUCUGAAUAGACAGGCAUUUCUGAACAGACAUGACAGGAUCAAAACAAUGUUUGAGCAAACUGCCCUUCAUCUACUGUGGAUAUGUUGGGGGAUGAUGGAAUAUAGUGAAAGAUAAUGGGUGCUCAUACAGCAGUCUAGACUUAAGGUGAUUCAACUACUAUAUAUUAAACUAGAUUAUCUUUUAUUUUUUAAUUUUGAAAUCUGGAUGCUCAAGCUCUGCCUGCACAACCACAUGAGGAAGAAGGAACAAUGACAACAAAAAUAACACUAAAUUUAAAUUUAAGAGUACUACUUUUAGGAAAUAGACAAACCAUUAUUUGGGUACAACUAAAGGCAACUGGCAUGGACUCAAAUAUUUUGGGGAAGAAAAAGACUAAAAGUUCUAAGGAAGAAAAUGCGAACCUUGAUAGUUUGAAAUAGUUAAAAAGACAGUGUAGAAACUGCUUAGGCAGUUUGAUUAUGGACUAUUAGAUGAUACUUGGGUCUGAUAAUGGUAUAAGGAGAAUAAAGUAUUUAGGGAUCCAAUAUUACGCCUGCAGCUUUUUCCAAAUAGUUCAUGGGGGAGGGGGAUGUGUAAGUGGUUAACUGAAGUCUAACUAGAUAGGUUUGUUGUAAGCUUAGGAUGUUUACAGUUCUUCAUGUUAAGUUGAGCGUGAUGGGAAGGGAAAGAAUGCUGAUCUUUAAAUUUUUGUCCUUAGUUAAGUUCUGUAUUUAGUGAAUUAAUUGCAUCCUAAAAAGUCAAACUUGAAAAGCACAUUUUAAAUGGCAAAUCUAUUUUUUACAUGUUUGUGAAGUUUUUAUUUUUUAGUAAACAGACCAUCAGAAGAGAACAAUGGUACAGAGCAGGGGUCAGCAGAUGGAUUUUGUAAAGCAUCAACUUGUAAAUAUUUUCAAGUUUAUUAGCUGUAUGGCUCUGGUUUCUGUUCCCUGUUCCAAAUGUUAAAGUCUACUGUUGUAUUCUAAAAGCAGCCAUGGACUGAAUGUAGCUGUGUUCCAAUAAAACUUACACAAAAGCAGGCAGUGGGCCAUAAUUUGCAACACCUGAUUCACAGCAUAAUUUUGUCACAAACUGAAAGUGUUCCUCAAUUAAAGUGAUUUUUUUUUCUUGA